This 229-nucleotide ribosomal RNA is filed under the name uncultured bacterium. Its description in RNAcentral is "partial 16S ribosomal RNA". It matches the Rfam family "Bacterial small subunit ribosomal RNA", at positions 568 to 796 of the family's 1533-position model. The record is from RNAcentral.
UGCGCAGGCGGGCUUGUAAGUCAGUGGUGAAAUACUGCCGCUUAACGGUAGAACUGCCAUUGAUACUGCAAGUCUUGAAUAUGGUUGAGGUAGGCGGAAUGUGUCGUGUAGCGGUGAAAUGCAUAGAUAUGACACAGAACGCCAAUUGCGAAGGCAGCUUACUAAGCCAUUGUUGACGCUGAGGCACGAAAGCGUGGGGAGCGAACAGGAUUAGAUACCCUGGUAGUCC